Molecule: long non-coding RNA, 528 nt
Organism: Tachysurus vachellii
Lineage: Eukaryota; Metazoa; Chordata; Actinopteri; Siluriformes; Bagridae
Exons: 3
Source: RefSeq, a predicted model, not a curated record
UUUACUAUCACUAUACAAGGUGAUAAUAUGUUGAAAAGGAGCCUGAAGGGAUAUAAUAGUGCAGAAUGUUGUGAAAAGCCUACAUACUCGGGGUGUGAUGCAGAGGCAACUGAUGACACAGAGGCAGAAGAAUGAGAAGGAAUGAGAGUGAGGAUACCCAAUGACAGCCUGACAACGGCAGGAUGAUGUAGCAUGUCAUCCAUGACUCACCCUUGCACAUAUUCACACAAAUAUAUUCCACUCUACCAGUAUAUUUCCUCUCUACCAAUGCCAGUUCAGCAUAUUCCUCCUGGUGAACUGUACAUGACUGCGUUGGACUUUUAAGUUUCUCAAAGCCGCCAGCCAUAUACAGCGAGGCUCAGGGUCACAGCAGUCCACCCCCACUGGGAACUCAAAGCACCAUUCCUUACCAGCUGGAGCUGGAACCCCCGACACUGAGCGCCUCAUAGCCCACAUCCCCGCCUAAUGUCACAACCACCACUUGACAAGACAGAGAAGGGUUAAUGCUCCACUAGGGUCAUGCCUAGA